CCCUUAGAUGUUCUGGGCCGCACGCGCGCUACACUGACGAAUGCAACGAGCUUAUAACCUUGGCCGAAAGGUCUGGGUAAUCUCCAAAUUUCGUCGUGAUGGGGAUAGAUUAUUGCAAUUAUUAAUCUUCAACGAGGAUGCCUAGUAAGCGCAAGUCAUCAGCUUGCGUUGAUUACGUCCCUGCCCUUUGUACACACCGCCCGUCGCUCCUACCGAUUGAAUGGUCCGGUGAAGCGUUCGGACCGUGGCCUUUGGACGGUUCGCCGUCUGUUGGCUGCGGGAAGUUCGUUAAACCUUAUCAUUUAGAGGAAGGAGAAGUCGUAACA
Molecule: ribosomal RNA, 326 nt
Filed under: uncultured eukaryote
Lineage: Eukaryota
Description: partial 18S ribosomal RNA
Rfam family: Eukaryotic small subunit ribosomal RNA
Source: RNAcentral